RNAcentral lists this ribosomal RNA (469 nucleotides) under uncultured bacterium. RNAcentral's name for it is "bacterial SSU rRNA". It matches the Rfam family "Bacterial small subunit ribosomal RNA", at positions 329 to 792 of the family's 1533-position model. The record is from RNAcentral.
UACCAGACUCCUACGGGAGGCAGCAGUGGGGAAUCUUCCGCAAUGGGCGAAAGCCUGACGGAGCAACGCCGUGUGAUCGAAUGAAGGCCUUCGGGUUGUAAAGAUCUGUUGACAGGGACGAAUAAGCAAUGCGAAUAGUUUUGUGUAUGACGGUACCUGUUUAGAAAGCUCCGGCUAACUACGUGCCAGCAGCCGCGGUAAUACGGAGGAUGCGAGCGUUAUCCGGAUUUAUUGGGUUUAAAGGGUGCGCAGGCGGAUUUUUAAGUCAGCGGUCAAAUCGUGGGGCUCAACCCCAUCCAGCCGUUGAAACUGGGGAUCUAGAGUGUGCGAGAGGUAUGCGGAAUGCGUGGUGUAGCGGUGAAAUGCAUAGAUAUCACGCAGAACCCCGAUUGCGAAGGCAGCAUGCCGGCUUCCGACUGACGCUGAAGCACGAAAGCGUGGGGAUCGAACAGGAUUAGAUCCCCUGUAC